Molecule: transfer RNA, 2724 nt
Filed under: uncultured Roseobacter sp.
Lineage: Bacteria; Pseudomonadati; Pseudomonadota; Alphaproteobacteria; Rhodobacterales; Roseobacteraceae
Description: bacterial LSU rRNA
Rfam family: Bacterial large subunit ribosomal RNA (bases 519-2724)
Source: RNAcentral
AUGGGGCGUUAGCUCAGCUGGGAGAGCACCUGCUUUGCAAGCAGGGGGUCAUCGGUUCGAUCCCGAUACGCUCCACCAAGGAUUUAAGUUUGAAAGUUAAGCAACUUUUGUUGUUUUGCUGUCCAACUUGGACAUUGUUCAGUCUUCGGACUGACUUGACAUCGUAAAGAGAGAUACAAACAUCAGAAUUACUGAUGCACCGCGUAAGGUGUAUCGUGAUGUUGUUUGGCAUCGUGUGAGAGUGGUAGGAGCAAUCUUAUCUUUUGAUUGGGGUGUCAUAUAUAGCAACAGUUCACAAAGUAAUUUUGUUCCAAGUUAAGUACAAUUAUACCUGAGUAAAGCCGCAAGGUUUUGCUCAUCGUCGCUGCUCUAUCCGGGCAGUGGCGGCACGCAUGUUGCCCCCUCUUUGAACCAGCGGGGGCCCAUGGGAAUAAUUUUGUAUGACUUUUGGUUCAGAAUUUAGUCAUCUUCGGAUGAUGUUGGCAGGACACGCAAAAGGCCUGUCUUCUUCUGGAUCAAAUCAAGCGCGAAAAGGGCGUUUGGUGAAUGCCUUGGCAGUAAGAGGCGAUGAAGGACGUGAUACUCUGCGAUAAGUUAUGGGGAGCUGAGAAUAAGCUUUGAUCCAUAAAUUUCCGAAUGGGGCAACCCACCUGAUACUUUGUUAUUAAUACUACUUAUUGUAGUGCCGUUUAAGGGUUCGCCCUUGGGUAGCGUUGCAUGCGGUGGGGCAUAAUAAUAGGGUAAACCAGGUAUUUAUAACUUGAAUACAUAGGGUUAUAAAAGCAAACCCGGGGAACUGAAACAUCUAAGUACCCGGAGGAAAGGACAUCAAUUAGAUACUCCCCUAGUAGCGGCGAGCGAACGGGGACCAGCCGAGCCAUGAGUGUGACUAGAAUGUGUUGGAAAGCACAACCAAAGUGGGUGACAGUCCCGUAUAGGAAGCAUGAUUGGACGUAUUAAGUAGGGCGGGACACGUGAAAUCCUGUUCGAAGAUCGGAGGACCACCUCCGAAGGCUAAGUACUCCUUACUGACCGAUAGUGAACCAGUACCGUGAGGGAAAGGUGAAAAGCACCCCGACGAGGGGAGUGAAACAGUUUCUGAAACCGGACGCCUACAAUCAGUUGGAGGGCCCUUGCGGCCUGACAGCGUACCUUUUGUAUAAUGGGUCAUCGACUUAGUGUAUCUAGCAAGCUUAAGCCGUUAGGUGUAGGCGCAGCGAAAGCGAGUCUUAAUAGGGCGAUUGAGUUAGAUGCAUUAGACCCGAAACCGAGUGAUCUAGGCAUGACCAGGUUGAAGGUUGGGUAACACCAACUGGAGGACCGAACCCACAUCUGUUGAAAAAGAUCGGGAUGAGUUGUGCCUAGGGGUGAAAGGCCAAUCAAACUCGGAGAUAGCUGGUUCUCCGCGAAAUCUAUUUAGGUAGAGCGUCAUCCGAAUACCCCGGGGGGUAGAGCACUGGAUGGGUAAUGGGGCCCCACAGGCUUACUGAUCCUAACCAAACUCCGAAUACCCGGGAGUAAUAGAUGGCAGACACACUGCGGGUGCUAACGCCCGUAGUGAAAAGGGAAACAACCCUGACCGACAGUUAAGGCCCCUAAUUCAUGGCUAAGUGGGAAAGCAGGUGGGACGACCAAAACAACCAGGAAGUUGGCUUAGAAGCAGCCAUCUUUUAAAGAUAGCGUAACAGCUCACUGGUCUAAUUAAGUUGUCCUGCGGCGAAGAUGUAACGGGGCUCAAGCCAUGAGCCGAAACUUCGGAUGCAUUUAAUGCAUGGUAGCGGAGCGUAGUGUGACAUAGUUCCAUGCGUCCUUCGUUUUAUAGCGGACUGCCCAGGCUUUCGAGCCUGUGUGGAGGCGCGUAAAAUACUGGACGCAAGGAGCUUUCUGUGAAGCCGGCCUGUGAGGGAUCCGGUGGAGAGAUCACUAGUGAGAAUGAUGACAUGAGUAACGACAAAGGGGGUGAGAGACCCCCUCGCCGAAAAUCCAAGGGUUCCUGCUUAAAGCUAAUCUGAGCAGGGUAAGCCGGCCCCUAAGCCGAGGGCGAAAGCCGUAGGCGAUGGGAACCAGGUUAAUAUUCCUGGGCCAGGAGGAAGUGACGGAUCACAAAGAUUGUUGGAUCAGGCGUAGUUGCCCCAGCAGUUCAGUGGUUCCUGGAAAUAGCCCUCCAUCAGACCGUACCCUAAACCGACACAGGUGGAUAGGUAGAGUAUACCAAGGCGCUUGAGAGAACUAUGUUGAAGGAACUCGGCAAAAUACCUCCGUAAGUUCGCGAGAAGGAGGCCCGGUUUCUAGGCAACUGGAAGCUGGGGGCACAAACCAGGGGGUGGCGACUGUUUACUAAAAACACAGGGCUCUGCGAAGUCGCAAGACGACGUAUAGGGUCUGACGCCUGCCCGGUGCCUGAAGGUUAAAAGGAGGGGUGAGAGCUCCGAAUUGAAGCCCAGGUAAACGGCGGCCGUAACUAUAACGGUCCUAAGGUAGCGAAAUUCCUUGUCGGGUAAGUUCCGACCUGCACGAAUGGCGUAACGACUUCCCCGCUGUCUCCAACAUAGACUCAGUGAAAUUGAAUUGCCUGUCAAGAUGCAGGCUUCCCGCGGUUAGACGGAAAGACCCCGUGCACCUUUACUACAACUUUACACUGAUAACAGGCACAACAUGUGCAGAAUAGGUGGUAGGCUUUGAAGCAGAAACGCCAGUUUUUGUGGAGCCUCCUUUGAGAUACCA